This is a long non-coding RNA of Girardinichthys multiradiatus, 1776 nucleotides long. RefSeq lists it as uncharacterized. The transcript has 2 exons. Lineage: Eukaryota; Metazoa; Chordata; Actinopteri; Cyprinodontiformes; Goodeidae. The record is from RefSeq and is a predicted model, not a curated record.
CCCGCGACCCGGUCCCGGAUAAAGCGGAAGACGACGAGUACGAGUACGAGCAACUCCCUUCCUGCCAAAUACCUUUUAUUUAUUUUAUUUUUGUUUUUGAAUUUUUCACUUAAUCCUGUCAAUAUGAUUUACAUGUCAAGUGUGCAUCAAAUAUCACAUCCAAAUACUUGAAAGAUCCAACAUUCUCCACUCCCUCUCCAUAUAACUGUAAUUUGAAGUUUUCAUUCAGCUUUCUCCUUGUAAAAAAGACUGCUUUAGUUUUUUCAACUGAAAACCUAAGCCCCCAGUUAUUCCCCCAUUCAACCACAUCAUUUAUAGCUUCUUGGACAUUUGUUUAUAUAUAUAUUCAAUGUUUCUCCCUCUCUUCCAUAGUACACCGUCAUCUGCAAAAGGAGACCGACCAAUAUCUCCUGGAACAACAGAAAACAUUUCAUUAAUCAUGAUAAUGAAAGCCAUAGGACUGUGUAUUUGCUGGACAAAGCUGAAUUGAUUGAAACCUGAAUCUGUCUACCAAAAAGACAUGGUCUUUGACCCAAUUAAAAACCCUGGCACCAACCACCAACCUGUGCAAUUUAAUUAAAAGGCUUUCCCUCCACAUCAUAUUAUAUGCCUUUUCAAUAUCAAAGAACACUGUCGGGAGUUUUGGAGUAUGUCUUUGUUUUUUGUUUUUUUUUUGCCUGCUGCUCACACUUUUCCACCACUAGAUGCCGUCUGAGCUCCGGAGGUGAGAAGGAACAGGUGCUCGCAAUUUCUCAUCAGAGAGGAGGAGGAUAAGAGAGCAGCUCGCCAGCACUCCUACGCCUGAGGGUUUGCCUAUUGUGGCUUGACUCCAGUCCGCCUACGGCUCUGUUGAUUCCUCGUUGUGCUGAUUUCCUCGUCUCAGGUUCCAAGUAAAGUUCCUGGAUUCCAUUUCCAGCUGGCGACUGCUAAAACCUCCUCCUUUCUGGCUCAAGACCCAAGCGAACCCUGUCCACCCUCCGACGUACUUACCUCCGAGCCCGGCACCUAUACUUGUCAUUCAGUAAGAAAAUGUCGAAGCCGUCUCUGCUUCCCCAGGUCUGUUGAUUUGGGCACAGGUUUCAAAAGAGUGAAAUAAACACAAAAUACAAUCAGCUUGAGUUCGCCUCUGCGCAGAGUGAGAGAGAUGCUCCAGCCAACACCUGCGAGCAAUAAUUCUGCUCUCUCUCUGCUUCCAGCUCGUUUUAUUAAGUUUUAAGAGUGUGUUCACAUUUCCUAUUUUACAUAUAUCAUAUCGCUCAGUUGUAUAACAUAACAGUUCCUUAUGUCCAAAUAAGGAGUGCUUCUUGUUAUUUCUUCCAGCAAGCUCAUCUUGUCUUGUCUCCGGCCCUCCCUGUCCUUCACCAAUUUAUGACCUUGCACUCUCUAUCCGCUACUCCCCCUGUCCUUCACCAAUUUAUGACCUUGCACUCCCUAUCCUCUACUCCCUGUUCUCCAUCUGCACAUUCCAGUUACACACAUAGAUAGUUUAUAUUCUACAAAAACAAACCCCAGAAAACCUCACCGCUGUGUGAAGGAACUUAACCCUGUAUCCUGUGUGAAGGAUCUAGUUGAAUACAACUUCAAGCAGGCACAAUUCAUCCAUCCUACCCCGCUUUGUCUCCCUCUCAUACAAAGCUCCAUCCAACCAGUAAGUCAGAAAGAGCUCAAGAAACUCUGAUAACUAUUUCCCAUCACUUACCAAGCCUUCUCUCCACACAGUGGGUGCAAUCCAGUUCCUGUUAUAUCAAUUCAUCAAAAAUAAACUCUUAACUUUUU